UACACACCGCCCGUCACACCAUGGGAGUGGGUUGCACCAGAAGUAGUUAGGCUAACCUUAGGGAGGCCGAUUACCACGGUGUGAUUCAUGACUGGGGUG
This 99-nucleotide ribosomal RNA is filed under the name uncultured bacterium. Its description in RNAcentral is "partial 16S ribosomal RNA". It matches the Rfam family "Bacterial small subunit ribosomal RNA", at positions 1384 to 1482 of the family's 1533-position model. The record is from RNAcentral.